RNAcentral lists this ribosomal RNA (455 nucleotides) under uncultured bacterium. RNAcentral describes it as "bacterial SSU rRNA". It matches the Rfam family "Bacterial small subunit ribosomal RNA", at positions 340 to 782 of the family's 1533-position model. The record is from RNAcentral.
UACGGGAGGCAGCAGUGGGGAAGUAUUGCACAAUGGGCGCAAGCCUGAUGCAGCCAUGCCGCGUGUAUGAAGAAGGCCUUCGGGUUGUAAAGUACUUUCAGUCGUGAGGAAGGUGUUAAGGUUAAUAACCUUAGCAAUUGACGUUAGCGACAGAAGAAGCACCGGCUAACUCCGUGCCAGCAGCCGCGGUAAUACGGAGGGUGCGAGCGUUAAUCGGAAUUACUGGGCGUAAAGGGCACGCAGGCGGUUAAUUAAGUUGGAUGUGAAAUCCCCGGGCUUAACCUGGGAAUGGCAUUCAAGACUGGUUAGCUAGAGUCUUGUAGAGGGGGUAGAAUUCCAUGUGUAGCGGUGAAAUGCGUAGAGAUGUGGAGGAAAUACCGGUGGCGAAAGGCGGCCCCUGGACAAAAGACUGACGCUCAUGUGCGAAAAGCGUGGGGAGCAAAACAGGGAUUAGA